GGGUUGUGAGGUUAAGCGACUAAGCGUACACGGUGGAUGCCCUGGCAGUCAGAGGCGAUGAAGGACGUGCUAAUCUGCGAUAAGCGUCGGUAAGGUGAUAUGAACCGUUAUAACCGGCGAUUUCCGAAUGGGGAAACCCAGUGUGUUUCGACACACUAUCAUUAACUGAAUCCAUAGGUUAAUGAGGCGAACCGGGGGAACUGAAACAUCUAAGUACCCCGAGGAAAAGAAAUCAACCGAGAUUCCCCCAGUAGCGGCGAGCGAACGGGGAGCAGCCCAGAGCCUGAAUCAGUAUGUGUGUUAGUGGAAGCGUCUGGAAAGGCGCGCGAUACAGGGUGACAGCCCCGUACACAAAAAUGCACAUAUUGUGAGCUCGAUGAGUAGGGCGGGACACGUGGUAUCCUGUCUGAAUAUGGGGGACCAUCCUCCAAGGCUAAAUACUCCUGACUGACCGAUAGUGAACCAGUACCGUGAGGGAAAGGCGAAAAGAACCCCGGCGAGGGGAGUGAAAAAGAACCUGAAACCGUGUACGUACAAGCAGUGGGAGCACGCUUCGGCGUGUGACUGCGUACCUUUUGUAUAAUGGGUCAGCGACUUAUAUUCUGUAGCAAGGUUAACCGAAUAGGGGAGCCGAAGGGAAACCGAGUCUUAACUGGGCGUUAAGUUGCAGGGUAUAGACCCGAAACCCGGUGAUCUAGCCAUGGGCAGGUUGAAGGUUGGGUAACACUAACUGGAGGACCGAACCGACUAAUGUUGAAAAAUUAGCGGAUGACUUGUGGCUGGGGGUGAAAGGCCAAUCAAACCGGGAGAUAGCUGGUUCUCCCCGAAAGCUAUUUAGGUAGCGCCUCGUGAAUUCAUCUCCGGGGGUAGAGCACUGUUUCGGCAAGGGGGUCAUCCCGACUUACCAACCCGAUGCAAACUGCGAAUACCGGAGAAUGUUAUCACGGGAGACACACGGCGGGUGCUAACGUCCGUCGUGAAGAGGGAAACAACCCAGACCGCCAGCUAAGGUCCCAAAGUCAUGGUUAAGUGGGAAACGAUGUGGGAAGGCCCAGACAGCCAGGAUGUUGGCUUAGAAGCAGCCAUCAUUUAAAGAAAGCGUAAUAGCUCACUGGUCGAGUCGGCCUGCGCGGAAGAUGUAACGGGGCUAAACCAUGCACCGAAGCUGCGGCAGCGACGCUUAUGCGUUGUUGGGUAGGGGAGCGUUCUGUAAGCCUGUGAAGGUGUGCUGUGAGGCAUGCUGGAGGUAUCAGAAGUGCGAAUGCUGACAUAAGUAACGAUAAAGCGGGUGAAAAGCCCGCUCGCCGGAAGACCAAGGGUUCCUGUCCAACGUUAAUCGGGGCAGGGUGAGUCGACCCCUAAGGCGAGGCCGAAAGGCGUAGUCGAUGGGAAACAGGUUAAUAUUCCUGUACUUGGUGUUACUGCGAAGGGGGGACGGAGAAGGCUAUGUUGGCCGGGCGACGGUUGUCCCGGUUUAAGCGUGUAGGCUGGUUUUCCAGGCAAAUCCGGAAAAUCAAGGCUGAGGCGUGAUGACGAGGCACUACGGUGCUGAAGCAACAAAUGCCCUGCUUCCAGGAAAGCCUCUAAGCAUCAGGUAACAUCAAAUCGUACCCCAAACCGACACAGGUGGUCAGGUAGAGAAUACCAAGGCGCUUUGAGAGAACUCGGGUGAAGGAACUAGGCAAAAUGGUGCCGUAACUUCGGGAGAAGGCCGCUGAUAUGUAGGUGAAGCGACUUGCUCGUGGAGCUGAAAUCAGUCGAAGAUACCAGCUGGCUGCAACUGUUUUAUUAAAAACACAGCACUGUGCAAAC
This 1812-nucleotide ribosomal RNA is filed under the name Escherichia coli. RNAcentral's name for it is "bacterial LSU rRNA". It matches the Rfam family "Bacterial large subunit ribosomal RNA", at positions 1 to 1830 of the family's 2925-position model. The record is from RNAcentral. Lineage: Bacteria; Pseudomonadati; Pseudomonadota; Gammaproteobacteria; Enterobacterales; Enterobacteriaceae.